Molecule: ribosomal RNA, 326 nt
Filed under: uncultured eukaryote
Lineage: Eukaryota
Description: partial 18S ribosomal RNA
Rfam family: Eukaryotic small subunit ribosomal RNA
Source: RNAcentral
CCCUUAGAUGUUCUGGGCUGCACGCGCGCUACACUGAAGGGAUCAGCGUGUUUUCCCUUUCCGAGAGGAACGGGUAACCCGCUGAACCCCCUUCGUGGUAGGGAUCGGAGCUUGCAAUUGUUCUCCGUGAACCAGGAAUUCCCAGUAAGCGCAAGUCAUAAGCUUGCGUUGAUUACGUCCCUGCCCUUUGUACACACCGCCCGUCGCUACUACCGAUUGAACGUUUUAGUGAGGUAUUUGGACUGGGCCUUGGGAGGUUUCGGCCUCCCUUGUUGCUCGGAAAGACUCCCAAACUUGAGCGUUUAGAGGAAGUAAAAGUCGUAACA